RNAcentral lists this ribosomal RNA (981 nucleotides) under metagenome. RNAcentral describes it as "bacterial LSU rRNA". It matches the Rfam family "Bacterial large subunit ribosomal RNA", at positions 1950 to 2925 of the family's 2925-position model. The record is from RNAcentral.
CCUAAGGUAGCGAAAUUCCUUGUCGGGUAAGUUCCGACCUGCACGAAUGGCGUAAUGAUGGCCAGGCUGUCUCCACCCGAGACUCAGUGAAAUUGAACUCGCUGUGAAGAUGCAGUGUACCCGCGGCAAGACGGAAAGACCCCGUGAACCUUUACUAUAGCUUGACACUGAACAUUGAGCCUUGAUGUGUAGGAUAGGUGGGAGGCUUUGAAGCGUGGACGCCAGUCUGCGUGGAGCCAACCUUGAAAUACCACCCUUUAAUGUUUGAUGUUCUAACGUUGGCCCCUAACCGGGGUUGCGGACAGUGUCUGGUGGGUAGUUUGACUGGGGCGGUCUCCUCCCAAAGCGUAACGGAGGAGCACGAAGGUUAGCUAAUCCUGGUCGGACAUCAGGAGGUUAGUGCAAUGGCAUAAGCUAGCUUGACUGCGAGCGUGACGGCGCGAGCAGGUGCGAAAGCAGGUCAUAGUGAUCCGGUGGUUCUGAAUGGAAGGGCCAUCGCUCAACGGAUAAAAGGUACUCCGGGGAUAACAGGCUGAUACCGCCCAAGAGUUCAUAUCGACGGCGGUGUUUGGCACCUCGAUGUCGGCUCAUCACAUCCUGGGGCUGAAGUAGGUCCCAAGGGUAUGGCUGUUCGCCAUUUAAAGUGGUACGCGAGCUGGGUUUAGAACGUCGUGAGACAGUUCGGUCCCUAUCUGCCGUGGGCGCUGGAGAAUUGAGGGGGGCUGCUCCUAGUACGAGAGGACCGGAGUGGACGCAUCACUGGUGUUCGGGUUGUCAUGCCAAUGGCACUGCCCGGUAGCUAAAUGCGGAAGAGAUAAGUGCUGAAAGCAUCUAAGCACGAAACUUGCCCCGAGAUGAGUUCUCCCUGAGACUUUAAGUCUCCUGAAGGAACGUUGAAGACGACGACGUUGAUAGGCCGGGUGUGUAAGCGCAGCGAUGCGUUGAGCUAACCGGUACUAAUGAACCGUGAGGCUUAACCUU